AUUGAACGCUGGCGGCAGGCCUAAUACAUGCAAGUCGAACGGUAACAUAAUAAAAGCUUGCUUUUAUUGAUGACGAGUGGCGGACGGGUGAGUAAUAUCUGGGAAACUGCCUGACAGAGGGGGACAACAACUGGAAACGGUUGCUAAUACCGCAUACACCCUGAGGGGGAAAGUCGCAAGACGCUGUCAGAUGUGCCCAGAUGGGAUUAGCUAGUAGGUGAGGUAAAGGCUCACCUAGGCGACGAUCUCUAGCUGGUCUGAGAGGAUGAUCAGCCACAUUGGGACUGAGACACGGCCCAGACUCCUACGGGAGGCAGCAGUAGGGAAUAUUGCACAAUGGGGGGAACCCUGAUGCAGCCAUGCCGCGUGUGUGAAGAAGGCCUUCGGGUUGGU
This 393-nucleotide ribosomal RNA is filed under the name uncultured bacterium. RNAcentral describes it as "bacterial SSU rRNA". It matches the Rfam family "Bacterial small subunit ribosomal RNA", at positions 30 to 427 of the family's 1533-position model. The record is from RNAcentral.